CAUCUAGGUCUGUGGGCCGUGACAGGUCAACUAGUGGUACAUCUAGGUCUGUUGGCCGUGACAGGUCAACUAGUGAUCUAGGUCUGUGGGCCGUGACAGGUCAACUAGUCGUAGAUAUAGGUCUGUGGGCCGUGACAGGUCAACUAGUCGUACAUCUAGGUCUGUUGGCCGUGACAGGUCAACUAGUGGUACAUCUAGGUCUGUGGGCCGUUACAGGUCAACUAGUCGUGAGUAUAGUCUUUCAUUGCUAAAUAUUACA
Molecule: non-coding RNA, 259 nt
Organism: Paramisgurnus dabryanus
Lineage: Eukaryota; Metazoa; Chordata; Actinopteri; Cypriniformes; Cobitidae
Source: RefSeq, a predicted model, not a curated record